This 407-nucleotide ribosomal RNA is filed under the name uncultured eukaryote. RNAcentral describes it as "SSU rRNA". It matches the Rfam family "Eukaryotic small subunit ribosomal RNA", at positions 592 to 1017 of the family's 1831-position model. The record is from RNAcentral.
CAAUAGCGUAUAUUAAAGUUGUUGCAGUUAAAAGCUCGUAGUUGAAUUUCUGGUCAAUUUUGGUUUCGGCUUCGGUCGGGCUAAGGUUGGUCAUCCGUUUGCAAGCUGCUCUCGGCCUUUACUGGUUCGGGGUAGUGAGCUGACAAUUUACUUUGAAAAAUUAGAGUGUUUCAGGCAGGCUUUUGCCCGAAUACAUUAGCAUGGAAUAAUGGAAUUGGACUCUGGUCCAUUUGGUUGGUUAUUGGAUCUGAGUAAUGGUUAAUAGGGACAGUUGGGGGCAUUAGUAUUUAAUUGUCAGAGGUGAAAUUCUUGGAUUUAUUAAAGACUAACUUAUGCGAAAGCAUUUGCCAAGGAUGUUUUCAUUAAUCAAGAACGAAAGUUAGGGGAUCAAAGAUGAUCAGAUACCA